UACAUAGGGGGCGAGCGUUAUCCGGAAUUAUUGGGCGUAAAGGGUGAGUAGGCGGUAAAUUAAGUUUGGGGUUUAAACACAGUGCUCAACGCUGUGGCGCUUCAAAAACUGAUUUACUAGAGUUAGACAGAGGCAAGUGGAAUUCCAUGUGUAGCGGUAAAAUGCGUAAAUAUAUGGAGGAACACCAGUGGCGAAGGCGGCUUGCUGGGUCUGGACUGACGCUGAGGCACGAAAGCGUGGGGAGCAAACAGG
Molecule: ribosomal RNA, 252 nt
Filed under: uncultured bacterium
Lineage: Bacteria
Description: partial 16S ribosomal RNA
Rfam family: Bacterial small subunit ribosomal RNA
Source: RNAcentral